AUUUAUAUAGUUUAAAUAAAACAUUACAUUUUCACUGUAAAAAUAAUAUUAAUUAUAUUUA
This 61-nucleotide transfer RNA is filed under the name Cyrtacanthacris tatarica. RNAcentral describes it as "tRNA-Glu". The record is from RNAcentral. Lineage: Eukaryota; Metazoa; Arthropoda; Insecta; Orthoptera; Acrididae.